AGUGAACGCUGGCGGUAGGCCUAACACAUGCAAGUCGAACGGCAGCACAGUAAGAGCUUGCUCUUACGGGUGCGAGUGGCGGACGGGUGAGGAAUACAUCGGAAUCUACUUUUUCGUGGGGGAUAACGUAGGGAAACUUACGCUAAUACCGCAUACGACCUACGGGUGAAAGCAGGGGCUCUUCGGACCUUGCGCGAUUGAAUGAGCCGAUGUCGGAUUAGCUAGUUGGCGGGGUAAAGGCCCACCAAGGCGACGAUCCGUAGCUGGUCUGAGAGGAUGAUCAGCCACACUGGAACUGAGACACGGUCCAGACUCCUACGGGAGGCAGCAGUGGGGAAUAUUGGACAAUGGGCGCAAGCCUGAUCCAGCCAUACCGCGUGGAUGAAGAAGGCCUUCGGGUUGUAAAGCCCUUUUGUUGGGAAAGAAAAGCAGCAGGUUAAUACCCCGCUGUUCUGACGGUACCAAAAGAAUAAGCACCGGCUAACUUCGUG
Molecule: ribosomal RNA, 491 nt
Filed under: uncultured bacterium
Lineage: Bacteria
Description: partial 16S ribosomal RNA
Rfam family: Bacterial small subunit ribosomal RNA
Source: RNAcentral